UACGGAGGGUGCGAGCGUUACCAGGAUUUACUGGGCGUAAAGGGCGUGUAGGCGGUUUUCUAAGUCCGGGGCUAAAGACCAGAGCUCAACCCUGGGUUUGCCUUGGAUACUGGAAAGCUAGACGGCUGGAGGGGGCAGCGGAAUUUCCGGAGUAGCGGUGAAAUGCGCAGAUACCGGAAGGAACACCAAUAGCGAAGGCAGCUGCCUGGACAGUACGUGACGCUGAGGCGCGAAAGCGUGGGGAUCAAACCGG
This 253-nucleotide ribosomal RNA is filed under the name uncultured bacterium. Its description in RNAcentral is "partial 16S ribosomal RNA". It matches the Rfam family "Bacterial small subunit ribosomal RNA", at positions 524 to 776 of the family's 1533-position model. The record is from RNAcentral.